This 253-nucleotide ribosomal RNA is filed under the name uncultured bacterium. RNAcentral's name for it is "partial 16S ribosomal RNA". It matches the Rfam family "Bacterial small subunit ribosomal RNA", at positions 524 to 776 of the family's 1533-position model. The record is from RNAcentral.
UACGUAGGGUGCAAGCGUUAUCCGGAAUUAUUGGGCGUAAAGGGCUCGUAGGCGGUUUGUCGCGUCGGGAGUGAAAACACCGGGCUUAACUCGGUGCUUGCUUUCGAUACGGGCAGACUAGAGGCAUGCAGGGGAGAACGGAAUUCCUGGUGUAGCGGUGAAAUGCGCAGAUAUCAGGAGGAACACCGGUGGCGAAGGCGGUUCUCUGGGCAUGUCCUGACGCUGAGGAGCGAAAGUGUGGGGAGCGAACAGG